GCGAGCUCUUGGCGAGGAAGCCGAAUGCGGACCCGGAGAAUAGCAGGGAGGGCUUCCUGGAGGAACUCACAGCUGAGACCUGCGGACCAGUAGGAGUUAACCAAGGAGUGUUCCAGGCAGAGAGAACAGCAUGUGCGAAAGCCCAGAGGCUGGAGAGAGCAAAUUAUUUUGAAGGAUUUCAAGACGGCUAGAACAGAGCAUUAGGAGGGAUAAAGCGGCAGCGUGGUAUGGGGUUGUGGGGCAAGAGGGAGUAGGGGGAUGGCUAGAAAUUAGGUAAGCAGAGUACUGUGUCCUGAGAGCAAUGGAAGACCUUGGUAGCCAUUAUGUAUGUGACGUGGUACCUGUCACAUAAAAGUGAGCUGGAGGGGGAGAAAGGAGGGAGGAAGAAAAAAGGAAGGAAAUAAAAUUUGAGCCAACCACAGUCAAGCCUCACGUCAGUUUUCAGCAGCAGCUGCGGCUGGAGCUCUCCAUAACCUGUGGCUCAGCCAGCCUCCUGGGAUACCCAGCCCCACGAGCCCUCUGCCAGGCCAAUGGGCCACAAGGCCUCCCAGGACCAAGUCGGCCAGUGCCCUUCCUUUCUCUGGGCUCCUGGCCAGGCAAGGCAGGGUGGGGCAGAUGGGCCCCAGGGCCCCAGGGCCCCAGCAGUGGACACAAUGUUCUGGUUCAGUGGAAGGACCUUAAACUCCAAGACAAGGACACGGCAGUAAAGGAUGAUGUGGCCGAACCCCCGGUUCCGCGGUGAGCAGACCCCAGGUUCUGGACUCAUCCUGGCGGAGUGGAGGACAUCACUCGCAGGGCUGACUGCUCCGUGAUAUAAAAAAAUGACAAGUCCCGGCUUAAUCUUUCUGAUAACUGUGUUCCGCGCCCCCAUCCAUCUCCACCAAGGGGUUUGGGUGAAGCUGGAAGACAAGAGCAUCCCAGCAUUUAAGAAUGAAAAAUUAAGUGCCCUUUUU
This 953-nucleotide long non-coding RNA is filed under the name Equus caballus (horse). RNAcentral describes it as "lncRNA (ENSECAG00000051886.1)". The record is from RNAcentral. Lineage: Eukaryota; Metazoa; Chordata; Mammalia; Perissodactyla; Equidae.